GCAGGAUAACCCAAAUCAAGAUAACCCAGCCAAAGCUCUUUCUGGGAGGCCACCAGAGGAGUCGACAGAUGUCACAAGAACAGUGGUCAGACCCUGCAAUGGAGGACCACACCUACUCCAAACGACCCAUCACCACGUGGCAUGAUGACAGCACCAGUCCAAAAGGCCACUGUCUGUUGCAGAUGUUACACUGAAAGAUGAUGCAGACUGUGCUGUAUACAGGGAUUCCCCUUCUAGAAUUCACUCUCGCUUACAAGAGGCUGAUGGUGGGAAAUACAGCGAUAUGUUCAUCACACAGAACUCAGGGUUUCUCAACCAUUUGCAUGCUGGUGAUGAGAUGAAGAGGGACAGUGACUUCACAAUUAAGGACUUGCUAGAGGAACAGGAACUAUCCAUCAUUUCCAUUGGGAGGAAUUAGGUACCGUCCAUCAUCCUAGCUUCUGAUGUCACCAUUUGGCUGACUCAAAUUGUCAAAGAUGUCAAACUCUUGAAGGGGCACUUGAUCUCAAGGAGCAGUGUUCCAUCAAGAAUCCCAUGUGGGCUGGCUCCCAACCCAGUAUGGUCAGGGUGCAUCACGGUUCAGUGUGUUUUAGGUGACAACAAACAGGAGUGGCUAUUCCACAAGGUAAAAUAAUAGAGAGAAUGCUUGUGUGAAGUCAGUAGGAAGACCUGAGCUACUCAGCAGACAACCCGGACCCUUCACUGACACAGACCUAGUGCUCAGUUCCCCCUGCUGCUGCCUGGUGUCUGUCUUACACCACAAGGACAUUCUGCUCUUCUAUCCUACUGUGUUUGGUAACAAGGAUGACUGAGCACAAGCGCAACAUGGACUAAAUGGUUUUC
This is a long non-coding RNA of Esox lucius (northern pike), 843 nucleotides long. RefSeq lists it as uncharacterized. The transcript has 6 exons. Lineage: Eukaryota; Metazoa; Chordata; Actinopteri; Esociformes; Esocidae. The record is from RefSeq and is a predicted model, not a curated record.